CUCUACGAGCGAAUAAAGUUAAUAAGCUUAAUUCUAAAUAUAACUGAUAAUUGAACGAGUGAACAAGAGAUUGAUGAUUCUUUUGAUCGUGGACAAAGAAGCCGUGUGUGAUAUCGACGACUCGAACGAAUUUUGUUAAAUAACAGUGAUUAAAAAGAGACGAGCGAGAAUCAUAGGUUAUCCACGAGGAACGUUAACUCGAGAUUUUGUGGUUCGUGAUUGUUGCAAUAUUUCGAAUUAAAUAAAUAGUGAUAAUUGUGUUGAAUUUUGAAAUUUGUUACGUAAAAACAAGAUUUUUUUUCAUAAAUUAAAGAUAAUUGAUAAUUUUACUGAAUACGUUGAGAAUAAAGAAAGAUGAACAGGUGCAUAGCGUUGGAGAAAAACUGGAUACGCGACUUCAUUAGUACAAGCCGUGAACACUUUCGCCGACACACGAAGAACGACUUGACGGUUGUCGAUAAUCUGCGAAGACGACUUGCAAGAAAAGUGUAUGUCGGGAUUGUGACUAAUAGAAAAAUGUAGAGAGUUUGCGGGGAAUAAUAAAAGCGUUUCGAAGAGAAAUUCCACGAAACGUGGCUGAAAGUCUGUCUACCUAUUGCUCGCAUGGUCGAUAAUCAUUUCUAGAAAGUAAUUGCAUCAGAAAUUCAUAAGAAAAUAUGCGGAUAAUUAUCAAAAUAGCGUUCAAUAUUUCAAUCGACCAAGCCUAGAAAUUUUACAAUUAACUCUACAAUUUACAAGUUGAAUCCUCCAUGUACAAAACUACUCUACAAUUCAUAGCAUAAAAUUCCAUAACAGGAGGAAAAGAUGCCAAACCAUCGUGGAAAUCAGCAUCGCAUCCCACGAUUUUCCUCUCUCAACGAAACAGAAUAUAACAAAUGUUGGAUGAUAGGCAGGAUCUCGAGGACGAGGAGGAGGAAGAAGCCUCGAUACGACGAUUCGUUUCCGUUUCGAUUUUGCCGCCUUGAGGCCCGGAGCGGAAUG
Long non-coding RNA from Apis laboriosa (Himalayan honeybee), 981 nucleotides. RefSeq lists it as uncharacterized. NCBI's taxonomy places the organism in Eukaryota, Metazoa, Arthropoda, Insecta, Hymenoptera, Apidae. The transcript has 3 exons. The record is from RefSeq and is a predicted model, not a curated record.